AGAGUUUGAUCCUGGCUCAGGAUGAACGCUGGCGGCAUGCCUAAUACAUGCAAGUCGAACGAGAGGAAGGAAAGCUUGCUUUCCUGAAUCUAGUGGCGAACGGGUGAGUAACACGUAGGUAACCUGCCCAUGUGCCCGGGAUAACUUCUGGAAACGGAUGCUAAAGCCGGAUAGGUAGCAGACAAGCAUUUGACUGCUAUUAAAGUGGCCUUGGCCAUGAACAUGGAUGGACCUGCGGUGCAUUAGCUGGUUGGUGAGGUAACGGCCCACCAAGGCGACGAUGCAUAGCCGGCCUGAGAGGGCGGACGGCCACAUUGGGACUGAGACACGGCCCAAACUCCUACGGGAGGCAGCAGUAGGGAAUUUUCGUCAAUGGGGGGAACCCUGAACGAGCAAUGCCGCGUGAGUGAGGAAGGUCUUCGGAUCGUAAAGCUCUGUUGUAAGAGAAAAACGGCACUCAUAGGGAAUGAUGAGUGAGUGAUGGUAUCUUACCAGAAAGUCACGGCUAACUACGUGCCAGCAGCCGCGGUAAUACGUAGGUGGCGAGCGUUAUCCGGAAUGAUUGGGCGUAAAGGGUGCGUAGGUGGCAGAUCAAGUCUGGAGUAAAAGGUAUGGGCUCAACCCGUACUGGCUCUGGAAACUGAUCAGCUAGAGAACAGAAGAGGACGGCGGAACUCCAUGUGUAGCGGUAAAAUGCGUAGAUAUAUGGAAGAACACCGGUGGCGAAGGCGGCCGUCUGGUCUGGAUUCUGACACUGAAGCACGAAAGCGUGGGGAGCAAAUAAGAUUAGAUACCCUAGUAGUCCACGCCGUAAACGAUGAGAACUAGGUGUUGGGGGAAUAACUCAGUGCCGCAGUUAACGCAGUAAGUUCUCCGCCUGGGGAGUAUGCACGCAAGUGUGAAACUCAA
This 909-nucleotide ribosomal RNA is filed under the name uncultured bacterium. RNAcentral describes it as "bacterial SSU rRNA". It matches the Rfam family "Bacterial small subunit ribosomal RNA", at positions 8 to 904 of the family's 1533-position model. The record is from RNAcentral.